RNAcentral lists this long non-coding RNA (213 nucleotides) under Carica papaya (papaya). RNAcentral's name for it is "long non-coding RNA (CPAP_LNC006385)". Lineage: Eukaryota; Viridiplantae; Streptophyta; Magnoliopsida; Brassicales; Caricaceae. The record is from RNAcentral.
UUCUAAGAGCUGGUAGAGCAGAAUCGGCCAGUUGAACAUCCCUUUAUUCUCUGAAUUAACUCGGGUUGAACUACUAAGUGAGCUAGACAUAUGGCUCUUUCAAGUCUGGGAGUUGUAUCUACUGUGUGGCAUUUAUCAUCCUACACUCAGAGACCAUUAUAUGAGAUAAUAUACAUGCAUUCUUCCUACUGAGGGCAUUGGCUACCACAUUAC